GGAACAAAGAGGAUCUCUUGGGGUUUAUGGGACCUAACUCCAAAACCCAGCUUAACUGACUCAUGGCCAAAUCCUGUGUUUCCUGACUUAUUUAAUCCCAUCAUCAAAGUGGUUUGUGUUUUUGAGACCCACAAACAAUAAGUAGAUGAGGGAGUAACGUGACAUUUUUCCCUUACAGCCUGGAGUGCAGUGGUGUGAUCAGGCUCACUGCAGCCUCAACCUCCCAAGGUCAAUUGAUCCUCCCACGUUAGCAUCCUGAAGAGCUGGGACUACAGACAGCAUUCCUUUAGGAUUGGAGUUAUCAUAGUGAAAAAAGAAGAUAAAAACCCAUGGUACAUUUCAUGGGGGUGAGGAUAUAGAGAAGAAGAAAGAUUAGGCAGGAAGAACCUUCUGGCAAAAGACCAGGCAGUGCAAGUCCAGAGGCAAGAGGCUGGCUGUGUGUUUAAAGCACACCAAGGUGGACAGUGUAACUGCAGCAGUAAUAACAGAAAGGAGAGUAAGACAAGAGAUCAGAAAAAUGAGAAGAUCUGCAGGAUCAGAAAAUUUUUUUUAAAGUCAGAUUUCCAAGUCCACAGAAUAAAUAAAAUGGCUGAAGAGAAACUAGGGUCUCCGCAUACAAAUUAGACCUGGGCUGCUGCAUCUUCUGGCUCUCGUUUGGUGGAUCUGUUCCAGAAGAUGAAGCUCUGUGCAGAGCGAGGAGGGUCAGAGGAACAUAAUUUAUAAUAAUCACAUGAAAAACUUUCCGAUUAGAAAAGGCAAAACUUGGAACAAAAAUUACCCUCAAUAUAAAAAGAAAUUUAAAAAGUGCCUGUUGGAGUAAAUGCCUUCAUUAUGUCAAGCAUUUAUAGAAAUUGUUCAAUUUAUAAGGAAGUGGAUGGGCGCGGUGACUCACAUCUGUAAUCCCAGCACUAUGGGAGGCCAAGUGCUGGAAGAUGGAAAGUCUAAGACCAAGGUGCUGGCAGAUUCAGUUCUUGAUGAGGGCCCUCUUUCUGGCUUGCAGAUGGUCAUCUUCUUGCUGUGUUCUCCUAAGGAAGAGAGAGGAAGUUCUGAUGUCUCCUAAGUACGUUAAUGCCAUCAUGGGAGUUCCACACUUAUGAUCUUAUCUAAGCCUUAUUACACCCCUCGCCCAAAGCCCCACCUUCUAAUACCUUCACAGUGAAGGUUAUGGCUUCAACCCAUGAUUGUUUCUGAGGGGACACAAACAUUCAGUCCAUAAUACCAUAACCCAGAAAUGUAAUGCUUACAUGUUUACUCUCCCCAAAUGAAAACUUGCCUGUACAAAGAUCUGUAUGUAGAUGUUUAUAGAUAGAAGCCUUGUUCAUAAUCACAAAAAAAAUGGAAACAAUAAAAAUGUCUUA
Long non-coding RNA from Gorilla gorilla gorilla (western lowland gorilla), 1358 nucleotides. RefSeq lists it as uncharacterized. NCBI's taxonomy places the organism in Eukaryota, Metazoa, Chordata, Mammalia, Primates, Hominidae. The transcript is spliced from 7 exons. The record is from RefSeq and is a predicted model, not a curated record.